This 224-nucleotide long non-coding RNA is filed under the name Ananas comosus (pineapple). RNAcentral's name for it is "long non-coding RNA (ACOM_LNC041546)". The record is from RNAcentral. Lineage: Eukaryota; Viridiplantae; Streptophyta; Magnoliopsida; Poales; Bromeliaceae.
GCGGCGCGCGGGGAUGGCGGGGGACGCGCGCGCCGGGUUUCCAGAGGUCGCCGGGGCCGACUCGAGGGCGGCGCGGCCGAUGGGGAAUGACGGCGGCGCGCGGAUACAGAGAUCACCCAGGCUCGGCCUGGGUGACUGCAGGUGGUGGCAGCAUGCUUGGGUGGCGCCGGCGCCGUGCGCAGGCGGUGGGAACGGCCGGUGACGGCGCCGGAGGGUGGAUCUCG